RNAcentral lists this ribosomal RNA (1416 nucleotides) under feces metagenome. RNAcentral's name for it is "bacterial LSU rRNA". It matches the Rfam family "Bacterial large subunit ribosomal RNA", at positions 1070 to 2521 of the family's 2925-position model. The record is from RNAcentral.
AGGAUGUGGGAUUGCACAGACAACCAGGAUGUUGGCUUAGAAGCAGCCACUCAUUUAAAGAGUGCGUAAUAGCUCACUGGUCGAGUGAUUCUGCGCCGAAAAUUUCCGGGGCUAAAACAUACUACCGAAGCUACGGCAUCAUUUUUGAUGAUGGGUAGGGGAGCUUCCCAUGCAGGUUGAAGCGAUACCGUAAGGAGUCGUGGACAGUAUGGGAGAGAGAAUGUUGGCAUGAGUAGCGAGAUGAAGGUGAGAAUCCUUCAGGCCGUAAACCCAAGGUUUCCAGGGGAAGGUUCGUCCUCCCUGGGUUAGUCGGGACCUAAGCUCAGGCCGAAAGGCGUAGGCGAUGGACAACAGGUUGAUAUUCCUGUACUACCGAUAAUUGUUUGAGAGAAGGGAUGACACAGUAGGAUAAGCUGAGCACACUGUUGGUUAUGUGUGUCUAAGUAUUGAGGCAGACUGGAUAGGCAAAUCCGUCCAGUUAAUGCUAGGAUACGAUGGGGAGCGAAACUAAGUAGCGAAGCAGCUGAUUUCACACUGUCGAGAAAAGUCUCUAUCGAGAUUAAAGGUACCCGUACCGCAAACCGACACAGGUGGGUGAGGAGAGUAUCCUAAGGCCAGCGAGAGAACUGUUGUUAAGGAACUCGGCAAAAUGACCCCGGGAUAAGGGGUGCCCCAGAAAUGGGGCCGCAGAGAAUUGGCCCAAGCGACUGUUUACCAAAAACAUAGGUUUCUGCUAAGUCGUGAGACGAUGUAUAGGAGCUGACGCCUGCCCGGUGCUGGAAGGUUAAGAGGAUCUGUUAGAGCAAUCGAAGCAGUGAUUUUAAGCCCCAGUAAACGGCGGCCGUAACUAUAACGGUCCUAAGGUAGCGAAAUUCCUUGUCGGGUAAGUUCCGACCCGCACGAAAGGCACUGUCUCAACAACAGACUCGGUGAAAUUGUAAUCCCGGUGAAGAUGCCGGGUACCUGCGACAGGACGGAAAGACCCCAUGGAGCUUUACUGUAGCUUGGCAUUGGGUCUUGGUACUACAUGUACAGUAUAGGUGGGAGGCUUUGAUUUCAGGACGCCAGUUUUGGAUGAGCCAUCGUUGGGAUACCACCCCUGUAGUACUGGGACUCUAACCAGAGGCCUUGAAUCAGGUCUUGGGACACUGUCAGGCGGGCAGUUUGACUGGGGCGGUCGCCUCCCAAAAGGUAACGGAGGCGCUCAAAGGUUCUCUCAGCACGGUCGGAAAUCGUGCAUAGAGUGUAAAGGCAUAAGAGAGCUUGAUUGCAAGACAUACAGGUCGAGCAAGGAUGAAAAUCGGACUUAGUGAUCCGGUGGUUCUGAGUGGAAGGGCCAUCGCUCAACGGAUAAAAGCUACCCUGGGGAUAACAGGCUUAUCUCCCCCAAGAGUCCACAUCGACGGGGAGGUUUGG